CCCUUUGGGGUGUGACUGCGUACCUUUUGUAUAAUGGGUCAGCGACUUAUAUUCUGUAGCAAGGUUAACCGUAUAGGGGAGCCGGAGGGAAACCGAGUCUUAAUUGGGCGUUAAGUUGCAGGGUAUAGACCCGAAACCCGGUGAUCUAGCCAUGGGCAGGUUGAAGGUUGGGUAACACUAACUGGAGGACCGAACCGACUAAUGUUGAAAAAUUAGCGGAUGACCUGUGGCUGGGGGUGAAAGGCCAAUCAAACCGGGAGAUAGCUGGUUCUCCCCGAAAGCUAUUUAGGUAGCGCCUCGUGAAUUCAUCUCCGGGGGUAGAGCACUGUUUCGGCUAGGGGGCCAUCCCGGCUUACCAACCCGAUGCAAACUGCGAAUACCGGAGAAUGUUAUCACGGGAGACACACGGCGGGUGCUAACGUCCGUCGUGAAGAGGGAAACAACCCAGACCGCCAGCUAAGGUCCCAAAGUCAUGGUUAAGUGGGAAACGAUGUGGGAAGGCCCAGACAGCCAGGAUGUUGGCUUAGAAGCAGCCAUCAUUUAAAGAAAGCGUAAUAGCUCACUGGUCGAGUCGGCCUGCGCGGAAGAUGUAACGGGGCUAAACCAUGCACCGAAGCUGCGGCAGCGACACUCAGGUGUUGUUGGGUAGGGGAGCGUUCUGUAAGCCUGUGAAGGUGGCCUGUGAGGGUUGCUGGAGGUAUCAGAAGUGCGAAUGCUGACAUAAGUAACGAUAAAGCGGGUGAAAAGCCCGCUCGCCGGAAGACCAAGGGUUCCUGUCCAACGUUAAUCGGGGCAGGGUGAGUCGACCCCUAAGGCGAGGCCGAAAGGCGUAGUCGAUGGGAAACGGGUUAAUAUUCCCGUACUUGGUGUUACUGCGAAGGGGGGACGGAGAAGGCUAUGUUGGCCGGGCGA
RNAcentral lists this ribosomal RNA (912 nucleotides) under Salmonella enterica subsp. enterica serovar Oranienburg. Its description in RNAcentral is "partial 23S ribosomal RNA". It matches the Rfam family "Bacterial large subunit ribosomal RNA", at positions 582 to 1498 of the family's 2925-position model. Lineage: Bacteria; Pseudomonadati; Pseudomonadota; Gammaproteobacteria; Enterobacterales; Enterobacteriaceae. The record is from RNAcentral.